Long non-coding RNA from Apis cerana (Asiatic honeybee), 435 nucleotides. RefSeq lists it as uncharacterized. The record is from RefSeq and is a predicted model, not a curated record. NCBI's taxonomy places the organism in Eukaryota, Metazoa, Arthropoda, Insecta, Hymenoptera, Apidae.
AGUAUCUGGCCCACGGGUGGCUAGGCGAAGCGGAACUAAGGCGCGUGCCUCUGGUGGAUCGUCGGCCGAGCGAUAGCGACGACGAGAAUCACAUCCGUUAUAGAAAGCCUUGAAACCAUGGGGAUGGAAUGAAGGAGGAAAAAACAAAACGCAAGAGAGCAAAGGAACAAAUUAAGGAAACCCGUUGGAAUAGGAAGCAAUUUUAUUAUAUUCGUUUUAACAGACCACUAAUAUCUACAGACGAAAGAAAAGAAACCGUAACACUCUCUGACAUUAUCUCCAACUAGAAACUAUUUCUUGGAAAGGACUGUCUAAGUUUAUUUCUUAGAAGAAAACCAUUGGAAUUUGUUACGAAUUUGAUUGUUUAAAUAAAACACAUACUUAAUUUUUGUAUAGAAAAGUUAAAAAGAAAAUAAAAAAAAAAAAUGAAUAAUA